Melitaea cinxia (Glanville fritillary) is the source of this 559-nucleotide long non-coding RNA. RefSeq lists it as uncharacterized. The record is from RefSeq and is a predicted model, not a curated record. NCBI's taxonomy places the organism in Eukaryota, Metazoa, Arthropoda, Insecta, Lepidoptera, Nymphalidae. The transcript has 2 exons.
UUUUUUAGGUCUUAGGAUACCGAAAAACACCUCCAACGCGUUUUUUUGUUAGAUGGAAAUAUGUAAUCUGUGAAAGAAAGCUGUCAAAAAUAUACAAUUAAUUCACAAUCACUGCCUUUUUAAAUUUUAUAUAUACCUACAAAUACAAAAAAAGCUUUAUGGCAAAAGUGAUAUGUGCUUUUAAAUAUGGCAUCAAAAAUCAUUUGCUUUCGAAAAUGUCAUAAAUUCCUUAUUGUUGCAGCCACAGCCAUGGCUUCCGGUAAUGGUGACAGUUCUAAUGGCUGGCAGGACACCUUCGAACUAUACAGCCCUGAGGAUUGGCAUUUGCCUAACAACCUGAGUAGUGCCAGUUAUACUCAUCUUUAUGGAAACGGAUAUGUUACGAAUAUCGGUGGCAUCGUUGCCAGCAGUGAAGGUAGCGGCGAGUCUCCAUCCUAAAGUAGUAAGAUUGGCAUAGCCAGUCAUAAUUUCGAAGAUAUCGCUUUACAUAACGAAAAAAUUUAGAAAUGCUACUUAUUCUUAGCUAGAAGUAAUAUGAAUAAAAACUUUUGCCGAUUAA